Molecule: small RNA, 127 nt
Filed under: Marmota monax (woodchuck)
Lineage: Eukaryota; Metazoa; Chordata; Mammalia; Rodentia; Sciuridae
Source: RNAcentral
UCUGGGCAUGGUGGCACAUGCCUGUAAUCCCAGUGGCUCUGGAGGCUGAGGCAGGAGGAUUACCAGUUCAAAACCAGCCUCAGCAAUUUAGCGAGGACCUAAGCAACUCAGUGAGACCCUGUCUCAA